UACAGAGGGGGCGAGCGUUGUUCGGAAUUACUGGGCGUAAAGGGCGCGUAGGCGGCCAACUAAGUCAGACGUGAAAUCCCCAGGCUCAACCUGGGAACUGCGUCUGAUACUGGAUGGCUCGAAUCCGGGAGAGGGAUGUGGAAUUCCAGGUGUAGCGGUGAAAUGCGUAGAUAUCUGGAGGAACACCGGUGGCGAAGGCGGCAUCCUGGACCGGUAUUGACGCUGAGGCGCGAAAGCCAGGGGAGCAAACGGG
RNAcentral lists this ribosomal RNA (253 nucleotides) under uncultured bacterium. RNAcentral describes it as "partial 16S ribosomal RNA". It matches the Rfam family "Bacterial small subunit ribosomal RNA", at positions 524 to 776 of the family's 1533-position model. The record is from RNAcentral.